RNAcentral lists this ribosomal RNA (534 nucleotides) under uncultured bacterium. RNAcentral's name for it is "bacterial SSU rRNA". It matches the Rfam family "Bacterial small subunit ribosomal RNA", at positions 975 to 1509 of the family's 1533-position model. The record is from RNAcentral.
UUGGCCUUGACAUACUAAGAACUUUCCAGAGAUGGAUUGGUGCCUUCGGGAACUUAGAUACAGGUGCUGCAUGGCUGUCGUCAGCUCGUGUCGUGAGAUGUUGGGUUAAGUCCGCAACGAGCGCAACCCUUUUCCUUAUUUGCCAGCGGGUAAUGCCGGGAACUUUAAGGAUACUGCCAGUGACAAACUGGAGGAAGGCGGGGACGACGUCAAGUCAUCAUGGCCCUUACGGCCAGGGCUACACACGUGCUACAAUGGUCGGUACAAAGGGUUGCUACCUCGCGAGAGGAUGCUAAUCUCAAAAAGCCGAUCGUAGUCCGGAUCGCAGUCUGCAACUCGACUGCGUGAAGUCGGAAUCGCUAGUAAUCGCGGAUCAGAAUGCCGCGGUGAAUACGUUCCCGGGCCUUGUACACACCGCCCGUCACACCAUGGGAGUUUGUUGCACCAGAAGUAGGUAGUCUAACCGCAAGGAGGACGCUUACCACGGUGUGGCCGAUGACUGGGGUGAAGUCGUAACAAGGUAGGCGUAGAUGA